This 484-nucleotide ribosomal RNA is filed under the name uncultured bacterium. RNAcentral describes it as "partial 16S ribosomal RNA". It matches the Rfam family "Bacterial small subunit ribosomal RNA", at positions 30 to 507 of the family's 1533-position model. The record is from RNAcentral.
AUUGAACGCUGGCGGCAGGCCUAACACAUGCAAGUCGAGCGGAUGAAGGGAGCUUGCUCCUGGAUUCAGCGGCGGACGGGUGAGUAAUGCCUAGGAAUCUGCCUGGUAGUGGGGGAUAACGUCCGGAAACGGGCGCUAAUACCGCAUACGUCCUGAGGGAGAAAGUGGGGGAUCUUCGGACCUCACGCUAUCAGAUGAGCCUAGGUCGGAUUAGCUAGUUGGUUGGGUAAAGGCCUACCAAGGCGACGAUCCGUAACUGGUCUGAGAGGAUGAUCAGUCACACUGGAACUGAGACACGGUCCAGACUCCUACGGGAGGCAGCAGUGGGGAAUCUUGCGCAAUGGGCGAAAGCCUGAUACAGCAAUGCCGCGUGAGUGAUGAAGGUCUUCGGAUUGUAAAGCACUGUAAGUUGGGAGGAAGUAAAGUAAGUUUAUACAUUGCUGUUUUGACGGUACCAACAGAAUAAGCACCGGCUAACUUCGUG